AUACGAAGGGUGCAAGCGUUACUCGGAAUUACUGGGCGUAAAGCGUGCGUAGGUGGUUAUUUAAGUCCGUUGUGAAAGCCCUGGGCUCAACCUGGGAACUGCAGUGGAUACUGGAUGACUAGAAUGUGGUAGAGGGUAGCGGAAUUCCUGGUGUAGCAGUGAAAUGCGUAGAGAUCAGGAGGAACGUCCAUGGCGAAGGCAGCUACCUGGACCAACAUUGACACUGAGGCACGAAAGCGUGGGGAGCAAACAGGAUUAGAUACCCUGGUAGUCCACGCCCUAAACGAUGCGAACUGGAUGUUGGGUGCAAUUUGGCACGCAGUAUCGAAACUAACGCGUUAAGUUCGCCGCCUGGGGAGUACGGUCGCAAGACUGAA
RNAcentral lists this ribosomal RNA (377 nucleotides) under uncultured bacterium. Its description in RNAcentral is "bacterial SSU rRNA". It matches the Rfam family "Bacterial small subunit ribosomal RNA", at positions 523 to 898 of the family's 1533-position model. The record is from RNAcentral.